Molecule: small RNA, 628 nt
Filed under: Stomoxys calcitrans (stable fly)
Lineage: Eukaryota; Metazoa; Arthropoda; Insecta; Diptera; Muscidae
Description: lncRNA LOC106089022
Source: RNAcentral
UCAUAGAGCAACAAAGCUUAAAAGAAGAAACAAAUUAGGUGAGAGUCUCUAGUUGAAAUCCAAAGAUAGUGAAAGAGAUGAAGGAUUAAGGCAGCUGAUCAAGGUCCUGUGUGUCUGCCAAUUUCUUUUCUUUUGGCUCUCUCCACUUUUGGAGCCAAAUAGUGUAAAAACAUCUUACAUAAUGUCAAGUUUUAUUUUGUCUAAUGUCCAAGAUUAAUUGAAUGCUGCACAUCCUUUGUGAAACAACAAUAAAUGUGUUCCAAUUCAAUCUUUAAGAACAAUAAUUGGCCGAGGGCAAAUCUAGUCUGAGUGAUGCCAAAAACAUUUCUCUCAACACGCACACAAAACCAGCAACAAUCAAGAAAAUCUCAAAGGCCAAUUCGCAGCUGUUUCUUUACACAUUAUUUACCAAAACAAAUGAAGCUUUAAGGUAUGUAGGAGAAAUAACGCAAAUACUGACGUUGCAAAAUUUAAAGUAAAGUACAAAAUUCACGGAACAUUGUCGCUGGACUGCAAAAUAUAUUAGCCGCCCCCGAAUUAACUUCUUAUACCGCAUUGUAUAAACAACUUUAAAAAAAGUAUUUUAAAUUUAGAAAUAAAUAUGUAACCAGCAGGUAAUGAAACUAAU